GACGUAGGGUGCGAGCGUUGUCCGGAUUUAUUGGGCGUAAAGAGCGUGUAGGCGGCUUUACAGGUCCGUUGUGAAAACUCGAGGCUCAACCUCGAGACGCCGGUGGAAACCGUAAAGCUAGAGUCCGGAAGAGGAGAGUGGAAUUCCUGGUGUAGCGGUGAAAUGCGCAGAUAUCAGGAAGAACACCCGUGGCGAAGGCAGCUCGCUGGGACGGUACUGACGCUGAGACGCGAAAGCGUGGGGAGCAAACAGG
Molecule: ribosomal RNA, 253 nt
Filed under: uncultured bacterium
Lineage: Bacteria
Description: partial 16S ribosomal RNA
Rfam family: Bacterial small subunit ribosomal RNA
Source: RNAcentral